Molecule: unclassified non-coding RNA, 202 nt
Filed under: Hevea brasiliensis (rubber tree)
Lineage: Eukaryota; Viridiplantae; Streptophyta; Magnoliopsida; Malpighiales; Euphorbiaceae
Source: RNAcentral
AAAAUAUUGAGCCUAGUGCAUCCAUACACAUCUUAAAGGAUUCGAUAUAUCUUGAUAGAAGCUUAUGAUAACUAAUUACGGAUCUGUUCCUUGAAAAGUUAUGCAUAGGUCAGAUCUUUUUAUGUACUUGGGACUUUUAGGCUACUCUACCUUCUGAAAGGGAGGGAGAGAGAUCUAUGACGGGAAGAAAGAUGUCGCUAGU